Molecule: long non-coding RNA, 401 nt
Organism: Thalassophryne amazonica
Lineage: Eukaryota; Metazoa; Chordata; Actinopteri; Batrachoidiformes; Batrachoididae
Exons: 4
Source: RefSeq, a predicted model, not a curated record
UCUUGCCAGGGCACACUUCCUAAAGGAGAGCUGAAAUACUCCACAAGGUAGCUCCUUUGCUCCUUGGCUGCUCUGCUUGUGUUGCCACGAUAAAGGUGCUCCAUGUCUGGCAGAUGGGCAUCCUGUCUCCAUGAUCCUGGGAUUAUUUCAUGAUUGUGCAGCGGAUCCUCUUGGUCCAGUGUAGCAACGUCAAUUGUAGGGUUUCUGAGUCGCAGGAAGUUAUGAAGGACACAACAUGCAUGGGUGAUUUUGAUGACCUUGUCUGGAGUGAGAGGUAAAGUGAUGAGAAGACAGCGGAACUGAGCUGCCAGAAGCCCGAAUGCAUUCUCCACAACUCUUCUGGCUCUUGACAGUCUGUAGUUGUAGACUCUCUGUUGGGGGGUCCUGUUGUGGAGGGGCAG